AAAAAUAUUAAUCUAUUAGAGAGUGUCCACAGGGGGGUAACAAAGAUGGUGAAGGGCCUUGAGGGGAAGCUGUAUGAGGAACAGCUGAGGUCACUUGGUUUGUUCAGCCUGGAGGAGACUGAGGGGAGACCUCAUUGCAGUUACAGAUUCCUUGUGAGAGGAACAGGAGGGGCAGCUCUCUGAUUUCUGCUCUCUGGUGACCAGUGACACUCCCAAGGGAAUGGUCUGAAGUUGUGUCAAAAUCACAAAAUACUCUUCCACAAAAGUUGCUCUCCUUAUGCACACAAAUGCUCAAUGGAAAAUGCUUGCUGAAACUAAAUCCUGAGUGUGAUGGGAAAAGAGACUGUGCAGAUGGAUCAGAUGAAAUGAACUGUGAUGUGGUCAUCUUGCCAAAACACUGCAGGAAGCUCGAGUGAGAAUGAUUAACCAAAGUGUUUGUAACAAGCUCUAUGAUGAUCUUAUUCCUUCACGUAUGCUGUGUGCUGGGAAGCUUAAUGGUAGUGUUGAUGCAUGCCAGGGAAAUUCUGGAAGUGUGCAGAAUCUCCUUGUGCACCUUGGCC
This 560-nucleotide long non-coding RNA is filed under the name Serinus canaria (Common canary). RNAcentral describes it as "lncRNA (ENSSCAG00000016930.1)". Lineage: Eukaryota; Metazoa; Chordata; Aves; Passeriformes; Fringillidae. The record is from RNAcentral.